This 253-nucleotide ribosomal RNA is filed under the name uncultured bacterium. RNAcentral describes it as "partial 16S ribosomal RNA". It matches the Rfam family "Bacterial small subunit ribosomal RNA", at positions 524 to 776 of the family's 1533-position model. The record is from RNAcentral.
UACGUAGGGGGCGAGCGUUGUCCGGAGUUACUGGGCGUAAAGCGCACGCAGGCGGUUUCGUACGUCUGGAGUGACAGUUCCCGGCUCAACUGGGAAAGGUCUUCGGAAACGGCGAGACUUGAGGGCUUCAGAGGGACACGGAAUUCCGGGUGGAGUGGUGAAAUGCGUAGAGAUCCGGAGGAACACCAAUGGCGAAGGCAGUGUCCUGGGAAGCAUCUGACGCUCAGGUGCGAAAGCUAGGGGAGCAAACGGG